Molecule: long non-coding RNA, 1070 nt
Filed under: Homo sapiens (human)
Lineage: Eukaryota; Metazoa; Chordata; Mammalia; Primates; Hominidae
Description: long intergenic non-protein coding RNA 2851
Source: RNAcentral
AGUCCUACCCACUCCGACGCUGGCUGGUGCCGGGGGCCGGGACGCUCCGUACGCCGCCCGCCAGGGUGUGGAGCCGCACUGGGGCAAGAUCAGGUGGGACAGCCCAAAGACUCCGGGCCAAGUUCCUGGGGGACUCGGCGGAGAUGGAAGAUGAUUCUCGAAGCUCUCCAUUUCCUUAAUUUUGAGAUUCUGGGCUCCGUACCCAGGAGGCACAGACUAUCCAGAGAGGCAGGAAAGUAGAGAUGGAAAAGAGGGCAGGAAAAUACACCACAAAGAACAGUAGUUAUCUUCAGUCCUUCUUCAAUGCUGUGACUGAGUGCUUGCUGAUUAUUGUGCUUGCUGAUCCUGACUAAUACUCUCUCUUGAUGAGCUUCAUAUUCAUCACGACUUGGAUAAAUUUUGCUGAUGAGUGCAUCAAACUUUGGGUCUGGCCUUGGUGAUCUUUUGGAAACUAGUUUUUUCCAACAGGUAAGACAUUCUUUGUUGCCACUUCUAAGGGCUAUGAUGUUGCAGUCUGCACAGAAACGAUGUAAAGACUCCUUUGUAGUCAUGGUGUUCUUCAACAUAUCCAAACAAAUUGGGCACAUUAAAUCACUGUGCAGACUUCGAGGUGAAACCACAAUUUCUAAGCCAUCUGUUAUUGCCUUCUGUAAGAGAGUCACUGAGGUGUUCAUUGUAACUCAUAUAAACUGAGUUCCCAUGUUUUGCUUAAUGGUUGAGUUCCUUUUGUCUGCACAGCCUGAGACAUUGAGGCUCCCACCCCAGCCAGGGGCUCACUGGCCAUGCAGGAGCGAGACUCGGGUAAUCGGCUGCCGCGGCAGCUGGCACCGCCUUACAAUAUAGCGAGCCGCAAAGAGCAUUUUAACACAAGCCUCCAGGGUUCCCGGACACCCCACUCUGUCCCCACGGAUACCAAAAUCUGCGCGUAUCCGCGCAUGUUCAAGUCCCUAAUAUAUUCUGGUGCAUAUACUAUGGUGUCAAAUUUGUAUGUAACCUAUGUACAUCCUUCCAAAUAUUCUAAAUCUCUAGGUUAUUUAUAAUACCUUAAUACAAUGUAAGUGCUAUUUAAA